Molecule: transfer RNA, 70 nt
Filed under: Edolisoma coerulescens
Lineage: Eukaryota; Metazoa; Chordata; Aves; Passeriformes; Campephagidae
Description: tRNA-Val
Source: RNAcentral
CAAGACGUAGCUUUAAUUAAAGCAUUCAGCUUACACCUGAAAGAUAUCUGCUGACAUCAGAUCGUCUUGA